CAGUCGCCGCGGUAAUACGAAGGGGGCUAGCGUUGUCCGGAAUUACUGGGCGUAAAGCGCACGUAGGCGGAUAUUUAAGUCAGGGGUGAAAUCCCAGAGCUCAACUCUGGAACUGCCUUUGAUACUGGGUAUCUUGAGUAUGGAAGAGGUGAGUGGAAUUCCGAGUGUAGAGGUGAAAUUCGUAGAUAUUCGGAGGAACACCAGUGGCGAAGGCGGCUCACUGGUCCAUCACUGACGCUGAGGUGCGAAAGCGUGGGGAGCAAACAGGAUUAGAUACCCCGGUAGUCCCUGUCUCUUAUAC
RNAcentral lists this ribosomal RNA (301 nucleotides) under uncultured bacterium. Its description in RNAcentral is "partial 16S ribosomal RNA". It matches the Rfam family "Bacterial small subunit ribosomal RNA", at positions 509 to 807 of the family's 1533-position model. The record is from RNAcentral.